RNAcentral lists this transfer RNA (70 nucleotides) under Dipodomys ordii (Ord's kangaroo rat). It matches the Rfam family "tRNA". From Rfam's summary of the family: Transfer RNA (tRNA) molecules are approximately 80 nucleotides in length. The record is from Rfam by way of RNAcentral. Lineage: Eukaryota; Metazoa; Chordata; Mammalia; Rodentia; Heteromyidae.
GGAGGCAUGGCUCAAUGGUAGAGCACCUACCUGACAAGUAUGAGCCCUGAGUUAAACCCCUAUGGCACCA